GUAAGGAAUAUUGGUCAAUGGGGGCAACCCUGAACCAGCCAUGCCGCGUGAAGGAUGAAGGCGUUAUGCGUUGUAAACUUCUUUUGUAUGGGAAGAAUGACAGGGAUUUAUCCUUGGAGAGACGGUACCAUACGAAUAAGCACCGGCUAACUCCGUGCCAGCAGCCGCGGUAAUACGGAGGGUGCAAGCGUUAUCCGGAAUCACUGGGUUUAAAGGGUACGUAGGCGGUUAAUUAAGUCAGUAGUGAAAGACUGUCGCUCAACGACGGAUGUGCUAUUGAUACUGGUUAACUUGAAUCAGGUUAGAGUUGGCGGAAUGGGUCAUGUAGCGGUGAAAUGCUUAGAUAUGCUACGGAACACCGAUUGCGAAGGCAGCUUACUAUUUCAUGAUUGACGCUGAGGCACGAAAGCGUGGGUAGCGAACAGGAUUAGAUACCCGGGUAGUCC
Molecule: ribosomal RNA, 446 nt
Filed under: uncultured bacterium
Lineage: Bacteria
Description: partial 16S ribosomal RNA
Rfam family: Bacterial small subunit ribosomal RNA
Source: RNAcentral